RNAcentral lists this ribosomal RNA (800 nucleotides) under Escherichia coli. Its description in RNAcentral is "partial 23S ribosomal RNA". It matches the Rfam family "Bacterial large subunit ribosomal RNA", at positions 2131 to 2925 of the family's 2925-position model. The record is from RNAcentral. Lineage: Bacteria; Pseudomonadati; Pseudomonadota; Gammaproteobacteria; Enterobacterales; Enterobacteriaceae.
UUGAUGUGUAGGAUAGGUGGGAGGCUUUGAAGUGUGGACGCCAGUCUGCAUGGAGCCGACCUUGAAAUACCACCCUUUAAUGUUUGAUGUUCUAACGUGGACCCGUGAUCCGGGUUGCGGACAGUGUCUGGUGGGUAGUUUGACUGGGGCGGUCUCCUCCUAAAGAGUAACGGAGGAGCACGAAGGUUGGCUAAUCCUGGUCGGACAUCAGGAGGUUAGUGCAAUGGCAUAAGCCAGCUUGACUGCGAGCGUGACGGCGCGAGCAGGUGCGAAAGCAGGUCAUAGUGAUCCGGUGGUUCUGAAUGGAAGGGCCAUCGCUCAACGGAUAAAAGGUACUCCGGGGAUAACAGGCUGAUACCGCCCAAGAGUUCAUAUCGACGGCGGUGUUUGGCACCUCGAUGUCGGCUCAUCACAUCCUGGGGCUGAAGUAGGUCCCAAGGGUAUGGCUGUUCGCCAUUUAAAGUGGUACGCGAGCUGGGUUUAGAACGUCGUGAGACAGUUCGGUCCCUAUCUGCCGUGGGCGCUGGAGAACUGAGGGGGGCUGCUCCUAGUACGAGAGGACCGGAGUGGACGCAUCACUGGUGUUCGGGUUGUCAUGCCAAUGGCACUGCCCGGUAGCUAAAUGCGGAAGAGAUAAGUGCUGAAAGCAUCUAAGCACGAAACUUGCCCCGAGAUGAGUUCUCCCUGACCCUUUAAGGGUCCUGAAGGAACGUUGAAGACGACGACGUUGAUAGGCCGGGUGUGUAAGCGCAGCGAUGCGUUGAGCUAACCGGUACUAAUGAACCGUGAGGCUUAACCUU